This 533-nucleotide long non-coding RNA is filed under the name Nicotiana benthamiana. Its description in RNAcentral is "long non-coding RNA (NBEN_LNC008954)". The record is from RNAcentral. Lineage: Eukaryota; Viridiplantae; Streptophyta; Magnoliopsida; Solanales; Solanaceae.
UUGCUUAAGCAGAACAAACUCUCUUAACUUAUUCUGUGAUUGAUAAGGAACCUCAAACUUACUCUGUGAUUUGUCUUCAGGUUGUCUAUUUGCUUCUUGAAGACCUCAGACCAGAAGUCUUUGCAUAUAAAUUUGAUAGCCUCUAAAUGUUCAGUGAAUCGGGGCCUAUCCAUAGUAUACCUAGCAAAAAUAAUUAUAUCAAGGUCAGUCGGAAAGUGAAACAUGAAAGCUAGGAUAUGAUGCAACUUAGGAAUAUGGCACAAACUCUCUUAACUUAUUCUGUGAAUGAUGAGGAACCUCAAACUUACUCUGUGAUUUGUCUUCAGGUUGUCUAUUUGCUUCUUGAAGACCUCAGACCAGAAGUCCUUGCAUAUGAAUUUGAUAGCCUCUAAAUGAUCAGUGAACCGGGGCCUAUCCAUAGUAUACCUAGCAAAAAUAAUUAUAUCAAGGUCAGCCGGAAAGUGAAACAUGAAAGCUAGGAUAUGAUGCAACUUAGCAAUAAUUAUUUUCAUAAAAGAAUCCAACUUAGUAGC